UGCUCCUUCACAGGAGAAUGGCAGAUG
Molecule: non-coding RNA, 27 nt
Filed under: Homo sapiens (human)
Lineage: Eukaryota; Metazoa; Chordata; Mammalia; Primates; Hominidae
Source: RNAcentral